ACCACACCUUCCGCAGCACCAGCGCCGCGCCGGCCGCCUCCCGCGCCCGCUCGCCGCCGCCUCCAUCGUCCACCUUCCGUGCACAGAGGGACAGAGAGAGCGCGGUCAGUGCCCGCCGGGGUCGGGGCUGGGGCUGCCAUCCCGCCGCCCGGGGGAGCCGCCGCCGGAGGCUUAAACUGGGGAGAGGGCUCUUGGUACCCCGGGACAGCUAAACACAGCACUAUCAACCUCGAUAUCAGUUCCCAGCAGGAGUUUCAAGUAAACAGCAAGGUUCUCUGGACUCAGUGGAUCUUCCAACCAAUAUUAUAGCCAAUUUUCCACUCCUCUCAUCCAUCUUUCUAAUACUGAGGGCAGGAACUUGACUUCUCUGGCAGCCCCCAUACAGCUUUCACUCAAGAAUGAGAACUGCAGAAUACAGCUCACUAAGGCCCUGCACCUGAAGACCAUUCACAACAGCACUGGAAAGAAAAGCCUUGCUGCCAGCGUGGAGGCUGCCAGACAUGCAGCAGCACAUCGCGCUGGAGCUGUUGCCGCCUCCAGCCAUCUGCUCCACCCUACUGAGGGAUGUUGCCACCUCCAAAACAAGGACAUCUGAUCUACCCUUAGCCAGCCUGCUGCAUGUUUUGCUGGGCUCUGAUAUUAUCAGCACACAACAUACCAGCUCUGCCUGACAUAGCCUUCCCUUCUUCACAUGGUAGGGGACGGCUGUCUUCAGGACAACUCCUCAAACCAUGUUGCUCUACUGACAGUCCCCUCCAUAAAGUCUCAGCCCAUCCAUCAGCCACUGGGCUUUCACUGUACUUCCCUGCUGCCCUUCUCUAGCUCUUCUUCAGCCACCAUUAUGCCUACAUAAGGCUCCUUCUCUCUUUGGUUAAGUUCACCAUGAGAAGCAGCACUGACAUCAGGUUCCCAAACAAUCUCCCUUGGGACACUUCCCUUCUCCUUCCUUGAAGUAUCUCCUCCUGAGCAAGCUGGUGUUAUCUAUAGGGAGAAAGUGACACUCCAUGAUGCCACUUAUCAGCUUCUGAUAUAUUGUAUGCACAGUGAUUUCUUCGGCCAACAAAGGCUUCACUGCAGGCUGCAAUUUUCCGCUGACAUAUCUUCUGAUCCCAUUCUGCUUCUCUCAUCACAUCCCAUUACUUUCAGACUGUGUACUACAGACUACUUAGACACUGCCAACACCUCUUAUGCCACCCAAGGAAUACUGAAACUCUCAUGUAUCUCUGAUCCUGGCUUCCCUUCCCCCAUUUCUAGCUUUGAUAUCUUCCUUCCCAUCAUAGCUUCAAACAAUUUAUAUAGCUUUCUACAGCUACAUCCUUUUCCAUGUAUAACUGUGAGAUCUCACCUAACCAACUUCUUUCUCCCUAUUCAGAAAAUUAUUUUUAUGUCAAAAAUCUCAUAAAUUCACUUUCUCUUAUAAGUCCUUCCAGAAAUAACUUCUUAAACCUGUUUACUUGGUCAUUACUGGGUUCUUCCUUCCCACAUGGUUGGCCAUUUACUAUUUGACCUGAACUUUGAUGGAUAAGGAGAUGCUGCAGGCGAAGAAGACGUACAGUCUGGAAUUCACCAUCUACCACAGAGCAUUUGAGUAACAGAAACAUAAAAUGAGAUGUAUGGACAGAUGACCAGGUCUUAACUCCCUAAUAGAACCCUGUGGAGAGGGUUACAAUAUCCAAGUACUCCAGGGAAAUAACUAAUGAUCCUUUCUUCAGUGCAGUCAUGUUUCAAGAAGCAAUUGCAUGAGUUACUAAGUGCUUGAGACUGCCUCAGUAAUUGCAAUGAUUUAUUUUAUGCAUCAUCGUAACUACAGCACUAGGUCAGGAGGACACGUGCCUUAUGGAUGCCUUGAAUUUUAACACAUGCAUUGGAGGCAAUCAGAAACACAGAGACCACAGUGGGGGACAGGGGGGUAGGGGAAAGACAAAGUCCAAAAUCCUAUCUAAAACAUAGAUUUCUGUUAAAUUUUUUAUAAAAUGUACUAUAUUUUCAGAUGACUCUAAGCAGAGGUUGCUUAAACUUUCUUCUGCUCCCCUAAAAUGCAAGUGAUCACUAUCUAAUGCUCUUGAAAUAUGUUAGGAUUUUUUUUUUCCAGUGUAAGUAAUGAAUGUGCAGUUUACAGUGUAACUAUCCAU
Molecule: long non-coding RNA, 2132 nt
Organism: Vidua chalybeata
Lineage: Eukaryota; Metazoa; Chordata; Aves; Passeriformes; Viduidae
Exons: 4
Source: RefSeq, a predicted model, not a curated record